Molecule: long non-coding RNA, 1646 nt
Organism: Rattus norvegicus (Norway rat)
Lineage: Eukaryota; Metazoa; Chordata; Mammalia; Rodentia; Muridae
Source: RefSeq, a predicted model, not a curated record
UCGUGGGAGUUGGUUAGAAUGAUACUGAGAUUCUAAAGCUUGCUCAAGGGUGGGCUCCUUUUGUGGACAUCAAAGAUAGAUGUAAUUGUCAACAUUGUCGAGAAGGUUGGGGACUUUUCCCUAGAUGGGUGGGGAGUUAUUUGUAGGUCCCGACCGUAGGCAUAGAAACGGACCCAAAUACGGGACGUCUGGGCCAGCAGGUGGCGCUCGCUUUCCAGCUAAACAGUGGCUGGCCACAACAGGUACAAGUCAACUGCAGUGGCCCGCCCUGUUCAGACUUGGAGAGGACAGGACAGCGAUCUUGGUGAAAAGAUGAAAGGUUCUGGGUGCGGGGGUGGCGGAGUUGCGGGAGGGCUAGGGGACCCGGACGGGGUUUUCACUAUUGUCUCACAUUUAAGUCGACCCUGAGCAGCUGCCUGAACCCUGCUGAACAACAGAGAGAGAAUGUUGGGCAUUUGCUGAACUCCAGCCCCCAAACCUGGAGUAAGGGCUGUUGGAGAAAUCAAGCUGAAGAAUCCUGGUGAGACACAGUUGCCACAGGGAACCUUCCAGGAGGUUCCUCCUGAAGAUUUGCCCUGGAGAUACAGAAGAAAAACAUUUUUAAAACUUCCAUUUGGAGCUGGAAAGGUGGCCCAGCAGUUAAAAACCAACACCUGUUUUUACAGGGGACUUGGGUUCUGUUCCCAGCACCCAUAUGGUGGCUCACGACCUUGUGUAAAUCCAGUUCCAGGGGAUCUGACUCACUCUUUCACCGCCGUGGGACCUGUACACAUGUGGUAUACAGACAUACAUAAGGGUAAAACACACAUAAAAUAAACAGGCAAAUAUUUGUUAAUACUCCAUAUUGCUGGGGGGAUAUAUGGAUAUAUCCUAUAUCAGUAUAGUGUGCUUGCCUGGAAUGCUCAAGGCUCUGGGUUUAAUCUUUAACAUUGAAAAAAAAAUUAAUUGGAAAAGAGGUUAUUGUGAGCUAGAUGCUAGAUUUGGGGUUUGGAGUCCAAGUCAAAGGUCAUGUAUUCUAGAAGGACAAUUGAAGGAACCGAUGGAACAAGUUGGUUCUUGAGUCACAUGACUCCCUGGGGAAUCUCCCAGAAUCACCCACCUGAAGUUGCCAUUUCUGAACUGUCAGUAUCAUCGCUCUUGAGCUGUGAAGUCAUCGUUAAGUAAAAUAAGGGGUUACCCAAACAUAGCGCUUUGCUACUAUGACAACUGGGCUGAUAGCCAAGACAAUUAUUGGGUGAGUAAAAGGUGGCCAGAGGUUGAAGCCACGUCCUGUAAGAGAUGAUUUAGUUAGAGAUGAGAUCUUGUCACACAAUUGAGAGGAGCAUACGACUGAAAACGUAUGAAGUGUUUAUUUCUAGAGCUUUCCGUCUAAGGCUUUUGAACUUCAGCCAACCAUGAAACCACUGAAACCUCAGGAAGAAAAAUUUCGGGAGCGUGGGAGGCUGUUGUACCGUCACCAUAUUUCACAAAUCAUUGACUUACUUCACAGGCAAGUUUCGUUUGCUCAAAGCACUGCUUUAUGACUGUCACCUUCUCCAUGGAGACCCCCCACUUCUCAUCAACAGCUGCCCCUCCUCCACCCACCCACUCUCCCACUGCUAUUUGGAGUUGAAAGCUGUUCACGUUUCUAAAACCCGAUUUCUUGA